GCAUUGCUGGCGAGUCCCAAGCAGGACGAAACAGCUGUCCAGUGC
This 45-nucleotide non-coding RNA is filed under the name Echinostoma caproni. Lineage: Eukaryota; Metazoa; Platyhelminthes; Trematoda; Plagiorchiida; Echinostomatidae. The record is from RNAcentral.